This is a long non-coding RNA of Oncorhynchus tshawytscha (Chinook salmon), 2374 nucleotides long. Lineage: Eukaryota; Metazoa; Chordata; Actinopteri; Salmoniformes; Salmonidae. The record is from Ensembl.
AAAACACUCCUUGAGUAAAAGUCUAAAAGUAUUUGGUUUUAAAUAUACUUAUUAAGUAUCAAAAGUACAUGUAAUUGCUAAAAUAUAUCAAAAGUAAAAGUAUAAAUCAUUUCACAUUCUUCAUAGUAAGCAAACCAUUUUUGUAUUUAAAUGUACAGCUAGCCAGGGGAACACACCGACACUCAGACAUUUUACAAAUGAAGCAUGUGUGUUUAGUGAGUUCGUCAGAUUAGAGGCAGUAGGGAUGACCAGGGAUGUUCUCUGUUUAGUGAGUUCGUCAGAUUAGAGGCAGUAGGGAUGACCAGGGAUGUUCUCUGUUUAGUGAGUUCGUCAGAUUAGAGGCAGUAGGGAUGACCAGGGAUGUUCUCUGUUUAGUGAGUCCUCCAGAUCAGAGGCAGCAGGGAUGACCAGGGAUGUUCUCUGUUUAGUGAGUCCUCCAGAUCAGAGGCAGUAGGGAUGACCAGGGAUGUUCUCUGUUUAGUGAGUCCUCCAGAUCAGAGGCAGCAGGGAUGACCAGGGAUGUUCUCUGUUUAGUGAGUCCUCCAGAUCAGAGGCAGUAGGGAUGACCAGGGAUGUUCUCUGUUUAGUGAGUCCUCCAGAUCAGAGGCAGCAGGGAUGACCAGGGAUGUUCUCUGUUUAGUGAGUCGGCCAGAUCAGAGGCAGUAGGGAUGACCAGGGAUGUUCUCUGUUUAGUGAGUCCUCCAGAUCAGAGGCAGCAGGGAUGACCAGGGAUGUUCUCUGUUUAGUGAGUCCUCCAGAUCAGAGGCAGUAGGGAUGACCAGGGAUGUUCUCUGUUUAGUGAGUCCUCCAGAUCAGAGGUAGUAGGGAUGACCAGGGAUGUUCUCUGUUUAUUGAGUCCUCCAGAUCAGAGGCAGUAGGGAUGACCAGGGAUGUUCUCUGUUUAUUGAGUCCUCCAGAUCAGAGGCAGUAGGGAUGACCAGGGAUGUUCUCUGUUUAGUGAGUCCUCCAGAUCAGAGGCAGUAGGGAUGACCAGGGAUGUUCUCUGUUUAGUGAGUCCUCCAGAUCAGAGGCAGUAGGGAUGACCAGGGAUGUUCUCUGUUUAGUGAGUUCGUCAGAUUAGAGGCAGUAGGGACGACCAGGGAUGUUCUCUGUUUAGUGAGUCCUCCAGAUCAGAGGUAGUAGUGAUGACCAGGGAUGUUCUCUGUUUAGUGAGUCCUCCAGAUCAGAGGCAGUAGGGAUGACCAGGGAUGUUCUCUGUUUAGUGAGUCCUCCAGAUCAGAGGCAGCAGGGAUGACCAGGGAUGUUCUCUCGAUAAGUGUGUGAAUUGCACCAUUUCCUCUUUUCCUGCCAAGCAUUCAAAAUGUAACAAGUACUUUUUGGGUGUCAGCGAAAAUGGAUGGAGUAAAAAGUACAUUUAUUUUUUUAGGAAUGCAGUAAAGUAAAAAUUGUCAAACAUAUAAUUAGUAAAGUACAGAUACCCCAAAAAAACAUUUAAGUAGUACUUUUUAAAGUGUUUUUAAUGAAGUACUUUACAACACUGUAACCUAAGCUUUUUUGUGUGUAUGGAACAUUUUUUGGGAUCGUUUAUUUCAGCUCAUGAAAACAUACGAGCAAAACAUUUACAUGUUGCGUUUAUAUUUCUAGUUCAAUAUAGAAUGAUUCACCUUUCUGGUUUUAUGGUUACAACGUCUGUGGCGCACAAUGCAAUGCAACUUCUGGAGAUGUUUGAAUGUGAUCUGAUCUGUGGUUCUGAUUAUGUUUAUAAAACAGGCCUAUUGGGGAGCAGUAUAACUGUGGACAUUCUCCCAUUCUCUUUAUGUUGGAUCUUUGUCCUGCUACUGUGGAAAGUACGGACGUCCAUAGUCUGCGUUGUUUUAAUAUUACAUGGCCACGGGGAGAAAUGAUGGUGCCUGUAAGUGUGACACAGCCUAUUUUUAAAACAAAUAGUUUUAAUUUGAUUAGAAUCUUGCUUAUUGACAAUGUUUGGAGUGUCCAUGUGCAGCCAUAAUGUAAUGUACAGUAGGCAUUGCCCCUAUAUCUGUCACACCCUGAUCUGUUUCACCUGUCUUUGUGAUUGUCUCCACCUCCCUCCAGGUGUUGCCCAUCUUCCCCAUUAUCCCCUGUGUAUUUAUACCUGUGUUCUCUGUUUGUUUGUCUGUUGCCAGUUCGUUUUGUUUUGUCAAGACUACCAGCGGGUUUUCCCUCUGCUCCUGUCUCUCGAUUGUUCCUGUUUCCUAGUUUUCCCAUGUUGACCACCCUGACCAAGAGACUGCCUGCCGUACUGUACCUUUACUAUGUGGAUUACUGACCUCUGCCUGCCCUGACCAAGAGACUGCCUGUCGUACUGUACCUUUACUAUGUGGAUUACUGACCUCUGCCUGCCCUUGACCUGCCUUUUGCCUGACCCUGUUCG